Ochotona princeps (American pika) is the source of this 612-nucleotide long non-coding RNA. RefSeq lists it as uncharacterized. The record is from RefSeq and is a predicted model, not a curated record. The transcript has 3 exons. NCBI's taxonomy places the organism in Eukaryota, Metazoa, Chordata, Mammalia, Lagomorpha, Ochotonidae.
GGUCUGUGUGGCUAGACACACGUUUGGGUUGCCUGCUCACAAUUCAUAAGCAUAAUUUUCACAUCAAGAAUCUAUCAUCAAUAAAGACCCUUAGUUGGGUUUGUCCCCUCUCAUGGCAAUGCUGAGACAAAGGCAGUUCACAAGCUCAGCUAAAUUUCAAGGGAGACAGAGACAUCCUUCCAUUGUCUUGGUGGACACUGCUGACUUUCCUGCUGAACUUGGCUCAUUCCCAUGCCAGAGACCGAAGACUCAGAAAGGUCAGCGCCCCAAGUCCUGGGUGGACCUCUUCCAGGUCAUGAUCUUGUGAUCUCUCUUCUUUCAGCCAGCCACGAAAUAUAACUUUUCUAAGGACACUGGCAGUAGAACUCAAACCUCAGGAGGUGAUUUCUUUAACAUAGCAACCUUUGAUCGUGAAAAAAAAAAAAAAUGAAGCUGUAAUACGGAUGGGGUUUCAUGUUAAACUCCAGUAAACCGUGGAAUGUUUUAAGAAGCAAAAGAUAAUGAAAGAAAAAUCAAAGGGUACAUCAUAAACCAAUCAGGGAAGCCUGCCUAACGAGAGAACAAGGCCUUGAUUCUUUGCCCCAAGGUCUGGCAGGGCUCCUUGGAACUGAA